UACGUAGGGUGCGAGCGUUGUCCGGAAUUACUGGGCGUAAAGAGCUCGUAGGUGGUUUGUCGCGUUGUUCGUGAAAACUCACAGCUUAACUGUGGGCGUGCGGGCGAUACGGGCAGACUGGAGUACUGCAGGGAGACUGGAAUUCCUGGUGUAGCGGUGAAAUGCGCAGAUAUCAGGAGGAACACCUAUUGCGAAGGCAGCUCGCUGGACGUAACUGACGCUGAGACGCGAAAGCGUGGGGAGCGAACAGG
RNAcentral lists this ribosomal RNA (251 nucleotides) under uncultured bacterium. Its description in RNAcentral is "partial 16S ribosomal RNA". It matches the Rfam family "Bacterial small subunit ribosomal RNA", at positions 524 to 776 of the family's 1533-position model. The record is from RNAcentral.